GCCCUAGUAGCUUAGUCUAAAAGCAUCGGUCUUGUAAUCCGAAGAU
This 46-nucleotide transfer RNA is filed under the name Barbus plebejus ssp. o FP-2019. RNAcentral's name for it is "partial tRNA-Thr". The record is from RNAcentral. Lineage: Eukaryota; Metazoa; Chordata; Actinopteri; Cypriniformes; Cyprinidae.